GAUGAACGCUAGCGGCAGGCUUAACACAUGCAAGUCGAGGGGUAUUUAUCUUCGGAUAGAGAGACCGGCGCACGGGUGCGUAACGCGUAUGCAAUCUACCUUUUACAGAGGGAUAGCCCAGAGAAAUUUGGAUUAAUACCUCAUAGUAUAUAGACUCGGCAUCGAGAUUAUAUUAAAGUCACAACGGUAAAAGAUGAGCAUGCGUCCCAUUAGCUAGUUGGUAAGGUAACGGCUUACCAAGGCUACGAUGGGUAGGGGUCCUGAGAGGGAGAUCCCCCACACUGGUACUGGGACACGGACCAGACUCCUACGGGAGGCAGCAGUGAGGAAUAUUGGACAAUGGGCGCAAGCCUGAUCCAGCCAUGCCGCGUGCAGGAUGACGGUCCUAUGGAUUGUAAACUGCUUUUAUACGAGAAGAAACACUGCUACGUGUAGCAGCUUGACGGUAUCGUAAGAAUAAGGAUCGGCUAACUCCGUG
This 478-nucleotide ribosomal RNA is filed under the name uncultured bacterium. RNAcentral's name for it is "partial 16S ribosomal RNA". It matches the Rfam family "Bacterial small subunit ribosomal RNA", at positions 28 to 507 of the family's 1533-position model. The record is from RNAcentral.